Pongo abelii (Sumatran orangutan) is the source of this 117-nucleotide unclassified non-coding RNA. It matches the Rfam family "Metazoan signal recognition particle RNA". Rfam says of the family: The signal recognition particle (SRP) is a universally conserved ribonucleoprotein. It is involved in the co-translational targeting of proteins to membranes. Lineage: Eukaryota; Metazoa; Chordata; Mammalia; Primates; Hominidae. The record is from Ensembl.
GCUGGGCAUGGUGGCUCACGCCUGUAAUCCCAGCACUUUGGGAGGCAGAGGUGGGCGAAUCACCUGAGGUCAGGAGUUCUAGACCAGCCUGGCCAACAUGGUGAAACCCCAUCUCCA